Molecule: unclassified non-coding RNA, 380 nt
Filed under: uncultured bacterium
Lineage: Bacteria
Description: contains 16S-23S intergenic spacer region
Source: RNAcentral
UCCGGUUUGACACCGGCAGUCUCCCUAGAGUGCCCGGCAUAACCCGCUGGUAACUAGGGACGAGGGUUGCGCUCGUUGCGGGACUUAACCCAACAUCUCACGACACGAGCUGACGACAGCCACGCAGCACCUGAACCGGCAGUCCCCGAAGGGAAGGCCCUAUCUCUAGGGCUGUCCGCCGUUGUCUAGCCCAGGUAAGGUUCUUCGCGUUGCGUCGAAUUAAACCACAUCAUCCACCGCUUGUGCGGGCCCCCGUCAAUUCCUUUGAGUUUUAGCCUUGCGGCCGUACUCCCCAGGCGGGGUGCUUAAUGCGUUAGCUGCGGCACCCAGGGGGUCAAUACCCCGGACACCUAGUGCCCAUCGUUUACAGCGUGGACUAC